Molecule: ribosomal RNA, 497 nt
Filed under: uncultured bacterium
Lineage: Bacteria
Description: partial 16S ribosomal RNA
Rfam family: Bacterial small subunit ribosomal RNA
Source: RNAcentral
GAUGAACGCUGGCGGCGUGCCUAAUACAUGCAAGUCGAGCGAACGGACGAGAAGCUUGCUUCUCUUAUGUUAGCGGCGGACGGGUGAGUAACACGUGGAUAACCUACCUAUAAGACUGGGAUAACUUCGGGAAACCAGAGCUAAUACCGCAUGAUAUUUUGAACCGCAUUGUUCAAAAGUGAAAGACGUUCUUUCUGUCACUUAUAGACUGAUCCGCGCUGCAUUAGCUAGUUGGUAAGGUACCGGCUUACCAAGGCAACGAUGCAUAGCCGACCUGAAGGGGUGAUCGGCCACACGGGAAGUGAGACACGGCCCAGACUCUGACGCGGGGCAGCAGUAGGGAAUCUUCCGCGAUGGGGGAGAGCCUGACGGAGCAACGCGGCGUGAGUGAUGAUGGUGUGCGGAUCGGAAGACUCUGUUAGUAGGCGAAAACAUAUGUGUAAGUAACUGUGAACAUAUUGACGGUACCUAAUCAGAAAGCAACGGCUAACUACGUG